RNAcentral lists this ribosomal RNA (253 nucleotides) under uncultured bacterium. Its description in RNAcentral is "partial 16S ribosomal RNA". It matches the Rfam family "Bacterial small subunit ribosomal RNA", at positions 524 to 776 of the family's 1533-position model. The record is from RNAcentral.
UACGUAGGCAGCAAACGUUGUUCGGAGUUACUGGGCGUAAAGAGUACGUAGGCGGUUUGCCAAGUUUGGUGUGAAAUCUCCCGGCUUAACUGGGAGGGUGCGCCGAAAACUGGCGAGCUUGAGUGUGGGAGAGGGAAGCGGAAUUCCUGGUGUAGCGGUGAAAUGCGUAGAUAUCAGGAGGAACACCGGUGGUGUAGACGGCUUCCUGGACCACAACUGACGCUGAGGUACGAAAGCGUGGGUAGCAAACAGG